This is a long non-coding RNA of Nicotiana tabacum (common tobacco), 556 nucleotides long. RefSeq lists it as uncharacterized. The record is from RefSeq and is a predicted model, not a curated record. Lineage: Eukaryota; Viridiplantae; Streptophyta; Magnoliopsida; Solanales; Solanaceae.
CUCCCACUCUCAAUACAAUUAGGGCAACACGCCCACUUUCUCUCCUCUCUAUCAGACAGACUCCCACUCUCAAUACUCUUCAAUAAUGUGAAUUUUUUGCUGCAGAACUUUGAAAUUCGAAGUCGUGUGUUGCUGCUCCGCAAGAUUCUCAGGUGAAAGGAUCAGUUUGACCUUGAACAUAUCAGCAGAUUUACAAUCAUUGUAGAUCAGUUUGGCCAUAUGAAUGUCUGGAUCUCUGGGUGUGUAUUCAUCUUAUGUUUCACUAAUCUAAUCUCUAGGACAUAAUAUAUGUACAUUUGUCAUCCCUGGUCUAAUAUCAUUGAAGUUUGCUAGAGUGUAGAGGAGAGGUGGUCAUAUGGAUGUUGAUGCCACAACUAACACUCUGAAUUUUAGGACGUGGAAAUUGGAAACAGAAUGUAAUACAUAUAUUUACCAGGCUAUUGGUUACCUAUAGCAAUAUCAGAUAGUAAAUUCUAUACCUUCUUGUACAACUUGAUGAACUUUGGCCAAUAGUUAAUUACUGAAAUAAAACAAUUUUAUGCAUUAUAUAACUUUA